AAUAUUGCGCAAUGGGGGAAACCCUGACGCAGCAACGCCGCGUGAGCGAUGAAGGCCUUCGGGUCUUAAAGCUCUGUCUUUGGGGAUGAAAAAAAUGACAGUACCCAAAGAGGAAACUCCGGCUAACAACGUGCCAGCAGCCGCGGUAAUACGUAGGGGGCAAGCGUUGUCCGGAUUUACUGGGCGUAAAGGGCGCGUAGGCGGUCUAAUAAGUCAGAUGUGAAAGUCCAGGGCUUAACCCUGGAAUUGCAUUUGAAACUGUAAGACUUGAGUGCAGGAGAGGAGAGCGGAAUUCCUAGUGUAGCGGUGAAAUGCGUAGAUAUUAGGAAGAGCACCAGUGGCGAAGGCGGCUCUCUGGACUGUAACUGACGCUGAGGCGCGAAAGCGUGGGUAGCAAAC
RNAcentral lists this ribosomal RNA (399 nucleotides) under uncultured bacterium. RNAcentral's name for it is "partial 16S ribosomal RNA". It matches the Rfam family "Bacterial small subunit ribosomal RNA", at positions 360 to 773 of the family's 1533-position model. The record is from RNAcentral.